Molecule: ribosomal RNA, 480 nt
Filed under: uncultured bacterium
Lineage: Bacteria
Description: partial 16S ribosomal RNA
Rfam family: Bacterial small subunit ribosomal RNA
Source: RNAcentral
GAUGAACGCUAGCGGCAGGCCUAAUACAUGCAAGUCGAGGGGUAUGGGUUGCUUGCAACCCAGAGACCGGCGCACGGGUGCGUAACGCGUAUGCAAUCUACCUUAAUCAGGGGGAUAGCCCGGAGAAAUCCGGAUUAACACCGCAUAACAUUGAGUUGUGGCAUCACAGUUCAAUCAAAUAUUUAUAGGAUUAAGAUGAGCAUGCGUGACAUUAGUUAGUUGGUGAGGUAACGGCUCACCAAGACCACGAUGUCUAGGGGAUCUGAGAGGAUGACCCCCCACACUGGUACUGAGACACGGACCAGACUCCUACGGGAGGCAGCAGUAAGGAAUAGUGGUCAAUGGGCGCAAGCCUGAACCAGCCAUGCCGCGUGCAGGAAGACGGCCCUAUGGGUUGUAAACUGCUUUUGUACCGGAAUAAACCUUCUCUUGCGAGAGAAGCUGAACGUACGGUAAGAAUAAGGAUCGGCUAACUCCGUG